RNAcentral lists this ribosomal RNA (386 nucleotides) under Cryptosporidium hominis. Its description in RNAcentral is "partial small subunit ribosomal RNA". It matches the Rfam family "Eukaryotic small subunit ribosomal RNA", at positions 612 to 1021 of the family's 1831-position model. Lineage: Eukaryota; Apicomplexa; Conoidasida; Eucoccidiorida; Cryptosporidiidae. The record is from RNAcentral.
GUUGCAGUUAAAAAGCUCGUAGUUGGAUUUCUGUUAAUAAUUUAUAUAAAAUAUUUUGAUGAAUAUUUAUAUAAUAUUAACAUAAUUCAUAUUACUAUUUUUUUUUUUAGUAUAUGAAAUUUUACUUUGAGAAAAUUAGAGUGCUUAAAGCAGGCAUAUGCCUUGAAUACUCCAGCAUGGAAUAAUAUUAAAGAUUUUUAUCUUUUUUAUUGGUUCUAAGAUAAGAAUAAUGAUUAAUAGGGACAGUUGGGGGCAUUUGUAUUUAACAGUCAGAGGUGAAAUUCUUAGAUUUGUUAAAGACAAACUAAUGCGAAAGCAUUUGCCAAGGAUGUUUUCAUUAAUCAAGAACGAAAGUUAGGGGAUCGAAGACGAUCAGAUACCGUCGU